This 436-nucleotide ribosomal RNA is filed under the name uncultured Glomus. RNAcentral describes it as "SSU rRNA". It matches the Rfam family "Eukaryotic small subunit ribosomal RNA", at positions 569 to 1008 of the family's 1831-position model. The record is from RNAcentral. Lineage: Eukaryota; Fungi; Glomeromycota; Glomeromycetes; Glomerales; Glomeraceae.
AGCAGCCGCGGUAAUUCCAGCUCCAAUAGCGUAUAUUAAAGUUGUUGCAGUUAAAAAGCUCGUAGUUGAAUUUCGAGAUCAAUUUGUUGGUCGUGCCUCGGUACGUACUGGCAAUUUUGGUUUCUCCCUUCUGAAGAACCAUGAUGUCAUUAAUUUGGUGUCAUGGGGAAUCAGGACUGUUACUUUGAAAAAAUUAGAGUGUUUAAAGCAGGCUCGCGCUUGAAUACAUUAGCAUGGAAUAAUGAAAUAGGACGUUUGAUUCUAUUUUGUUGGUUUCUAGGAUCGACGUAAUGAUUAAUAGGGAUAGUUGGGGGCAUUAGUAUUCAAUUGUCAGAGGUGAAAUUCUUGGAUUUUAUUGAAGACUAACUACUGCGAAAGCAUUUGCCAAGGAUGUUUUCAUUAAUCAAGAACGAAAGUUAGGGGGAUCGAAGACGAU